GUUAAACUGUCAGACAGGAAUCAAUUGGGGUUUGAAAAGUGCCUAGUUAGGGACCUGGGAGAGAUAGGGAUUGGGGUUGGCUAUGCAAGGCAACCUGGUUUAAUUCCCCGAGAGAAAAUAAGAAUACUAGAAGGGCCUCAGAGAGCAUUGCUGGUGUAGUAAUAUUUAUAGCUAGUGUGGAAAUCGUCCUUCCUGAGACAAGUUUUAAAUAAGAGUACUGAAUAAGGUUUUAUAGUUUUCUGUAAAGUGUGUUUGCCUGAAGCUAAGAAUUGUGCCUCUCAUGCAUAACCUCACUGAGUGCAAUUAAAUAAAAAGUCUAUGUUUGUUUCAGAAGUGCCUCCUCAUAUUUCAAACCACUUGGUGUGAGGAAUAAGUGGACACAGGCCAUCCUUCACACAAGUAAAACACUGGUUGCAGUAUAAUAAAGAAAUGAUACCACAAACAGUUUCUAACAAGGAGAGUUGAAACUUUUGAACACCCAGAAAAUCCAGCUCCCAUCUUCCGUGAGGGAGUCUGUCACAGAGGUCUUGCCAGGACAUUGGUAUUGAGUGCAGGGGGUGGAGGGAGGCCAUAUUUAUGUACUUUUUUUAAAGUCUCCAAGUAAUUUCCACAUGUGUUGAGAUCUGGAGAAAAGAGCCCCUUCAAAUAGUUUCUUCAAAUGGGGGUUGUUAAAGUCCUUGAAAUCUCACUUUGAUGGCUGUUUUUUUUACCAUCAAGCUAUAUGGAAAUUUUGUGAAAUGCCUAAAUAACUUAAUAAAUUAUCUUCCUUGGUUGCUUCCAGACGGAAAUUGUCUGCUCUAUGCUGCAUUUCUGCGAUCCCAAUGCACAUUACCUGUUUACUGGGCCUUGCUACUAUUGUGGGAUACAAAAGUGAUUAACAGAUUUGUAACAAAUGCAUGCAGACUCUUCCCCCAUUCCUCUUCUUUCUAGAGCUAAGUUUAAAAUAUUGAAAAGAAUGUCAGCCUUAAGUUUUCAUCUUAAGCAUAAUCUAAAGGAAGUAAUCAGAUGAACUCAGUGAGAUUUAAAUUGUGGAUGGACAUGCUCUGAUAGAACAGGCUACUUGCGCCCAAGUGCUUGCAGUGAUCUGGUCAUACGGAUGCUUCAGCAUCAGGCACAUCACCAAAAAAGAAGAAACACAUAAACAUAAGAGAGCGAAAGAGGACACAGAUUUGGAUAAAAUUAGGAUGUGCUAAUUUAUAUGCAUAGAUGCAAAUUUAGAAAUCGUUACUUUAAUUUAAAUAGAAAUACAAUACAUCUCAGCAUUGUGGGUAAAGACAGUAGUCAGGUGACCUGUGCACCUGCUCAGUCUGCUGUCCAGGUACAAACUGUGGAUAGUAAAUUUCAUGGCUUCUCCAUCUUUAAAUCAGAGUUGGACGGCUGAGCCCUUCAGACAGAGGGCAUUCUCAAACAGGGCUGAUGUCUGAUGGCCCUUUGGAGAGAGGAGUGUCCUCUGCAAAGUAGGACACACGGCCACCCUGUUGUCUUGUUAAACUGCUUUGUAUUUGCCUUUCACUUUAAAAAUAAAGCGCAUGUUACAAUAAUGUCACUUUCCGGUUGGCAUUCUAGUUCAAUAGGUGCUGAUCUCUAAACGGCAGCAAGAUGGCGAUGGAGAAUAAGGAAACAGAGGAUACAUGUCAGAAAAAGAAGGGCCUGAGCUCUAGCUGCCCUAUAACAAAGCCUCUUGCCCAGGGAGCCUCAAAUGAAAUUACUGCACUACACAAGUCUAAGGGUCAAAUGACAUAUGAUAUGUGAUCACUCAACCUCCUGCUGUGUUUUUUAAAAAGGUUAAUAGCAGGCGCCUUUUUGAAAUUAGAACCAGUUCACACAGCCCCUUGGGCUUGUGGCAAACCUGCCCAUUUUCAUUCUGAGGGCAAAGAGUGCUUAUGAUAAACCAGUUCUGUGAAUGGCUCUUAAUAAUAACAACAGGCUAUUAGCUAUGAUCGUCCAAUGGAAUCCGCUGAGGGCCAGGUUCCAGAGGACAAACAAUGGGGAAGACUGAUGCCUUCACACCCCACUUAUGGGCUUCCAAGAAGCAUUUCAGUGAUGGCUCCUGGAAGCAAGGUUCUGAAACAGAUGGAUCCUGGGUGUCUGAUCCAAUUGGGCUUGUCUUCAGUUUUGAGACUAAAAGUUCCCAUAUCACUUAAACCCUCACAGCAGGAGCAUAACUGAAAAAUUGGGAUCUGAAAUUCAUGAUGAGCCACCCACAUGCCCAGUUCACCACAAGCACAUUUUGUACCUGUGGCAAGCGGGGACAGUUUGUGAUUCUUGCCCCAACGACUACUGUAUGUCCAUUGCCGUUUCAGGCGCUAUGUGGCAAUGUGCGUAUUUCAAGCACCUACUGGACACUGCCUUGAAAAUAAACAAUUGUGAGUAUUGCAGCCCACCUAAAAAAACCCCAAAAAACCUGCACUACACCAUAUUCAUAUGAAAAGUUUCUAAAAGCUGUUAUUAUUAUUAUUUUUUUAACAGACUGACUGUUUAUGAAUUACCACCCUGGCAUGAAAACGAACCUAUCCCCCCACCCGUUUUUUAAGGCAAGUGAAUGCAAGAUGUUUCUGUAGCAAUGGCUCACAAACAUUUGCUUUGAAAAUGUUUAGCUCUAUUUUUAUUAUUUUAAAAGCGAAGCUGGAAUGCAUACACCCUGAUAUUUUAAAGGAUGAAUUGCUCUUCUCCAUUAGUUACUUGAGAACCAGAUAUUGCAUGGCUCAAGGCUAGGAGGGCUAUAGUACUAAUAAUAAAAUCCUGUGGUGGUGGUAGAUAUAAUAGAAUCAUAACGUUGGAAAGGACCCAAUGGAGCAUCUAGUCCAACCCCCUGCAAUGCAGAAAUAUGCAGCUGACCCAUACAAGGAUUGAACCUGCAACCUUGGUGUUAUCAGCACCAUGCUCUAACCAACUGAGCUAUCCAGGCAGUGCUAGUAUGUUUGUAUCACCUGGAACAGGAUAAAUUCUCAGAGCACUGAUAACAGCUUCUAGGAACUGGAAUCCAAGAAGAUAACUAGGUUCCCACAAGAGCCUGCCUCUUCAGCUAUAGUUAGCAGCCCCACGGUUAUCUGUCAUCUGGAUGGAGAACCUUAUCAUUAGAUGUUCUUGGGAAAUGAAGAUAAUACCAGUCUUACAAUAUAUCAAAAGUUUUGGCAUUCCACUUGUCAAAUUCUUUAUUUGAUGCCUCCCAUGCUUUAUAAAUUUCAUUUCUUUCAUUUUCAUCAGUGCUGCUAUCAGAUGUGAUGUCGGCUGCUAUUGGUUUCCAGGGGGUGGGAGUGGGGAGGUAUGGGGGGCUGAUACCGGGGAAGUUGGACAGUCACUC
Non-coding RNA from Podarcis lilfordi (Lilford's wall lizard), 3304 nucleotides. NCBI's taxonomy places the organism in Eukaryota, Metazoa, Chordata, Lepidosauria, Squamata, Lacertidae. The record is from the annotation of a GenBank genome assembly.